UCUGCGACAGGCUGCUCAAGGCUAGGGCAAGUGACUGUUAAUCACUGGGGCUCCGGUUCGAGUCCUAGUCACGGAACCA
RNAcentral lists this transfer RNA (79 nucleotides) under Stenotrophobium rhamnosiphilum. RNAcentral's name for it is "Sinobacteraceae bacterium GT1R17 tRNA-Asn". Lineage: Bacteria; Pseudomonadati; Pseudomonadota; Gammaproteobacteria; Nevskiales; Nevskiaceae. The record is from RNAcentral.